AAUCAUUGGUUCCCUAUAUAAACCCUGUCUGGGUAAGAGGUCUCUCAUUUCCAGAUUGACAUUCAAUAGAGCCACACUGUAGAGGUUUUUCUGUAUACAUUGUAUUUAUUGUCUGGAUAUACUGGAAUUCUUUUGUUUAUUCACAAAUUGAGGUGUCGAUUUCGAAUGAAGUUAUGUGGUAAAUAUCUGUGCCAGGAUUUUAUCCACGUCUGUUAUAUUCCCAUAUAAGGUCUAUCAAGACACACCCCUGAUGAAGUCUCCAAGGAGACAAAACGCGUCGGGCAUUUGUCUGCGAUGUUUACUGUGACCCCGAAGGGGAAGAAAAAUGACUGUACUAACAACACUUCAAGAAAAACUUUUUAAUAAACGUAUUGGACUUUUAACUGUGUGUUCUUAUUAACUUAUAAAGACCAAGAUGAGGACAACUGAGACUGUGACCUCUGGCAAGGGCGCCAGACCACUAUUGUUUAUUUAUAUAUAUAUAUAUUUAUAUUCCUGAUGAGGGUUGAAAUAAACCAAAAUGUAGAAAGAAACUCAAGACAGGGUUACUCUCUGCUCUUUGUCUGCAUGAAGUCUACGAGUGCCUUCAACUU
This is a long non-coding RNA of Pseudophryne corroboree (corroboree frog), 593 nucleotides long. RefSeq lists it as uncharacterized. The record is from RefSeq and is a predicted model, not a curated record. The transcript has 4 exons. NCBI's taxonomy places the organism in Eukaryota, Metazoa, Chordata, Amphibia, Anura, Myobatrachidae.